GAUGAACGCUGGCGGCGUGCCUAAUACAUGCAAGUCGAGCGAACGGACGAGAAGCUUGCUUCUCUGAUGUUAGCGGCGGACGGGUGAGUAACACGUGGAUAACCUACCUAUAAGACUGGGAUAACUUCGGGAAACCGGAGCUAAUACCGGAUGAUAUUUUGAACCGCAUGGUUCAAAAGUGAAAGACGGUCUUGCUGUCACUUAUAGAUGGAUCCGCGCUGCAUUAGCUAGUUGGUAAGGUAACGGCUUACCAAGGCAACGAUGCAUAGCCGACCUGAGAGGGUGAUCGGCCACACUAGAACGGAGACACGGUCCAGACUCGUAGGGGAGGCAGCAGUAGGGAAUCUUCCGCAAUGGGCGAAAGCCUGACGGAGCAACGCCGCGUGAGUGAUGAAGGUCUUCGGAUCGUAAAACUCUGUUAUUAGGGAAGAACACAUGUGUAAGUAACUGUGCACAUCUUGACGGUACCUAAUCAGAAAGCCACGGCUAACUACGUG
RNAcentral lists this ribosomal RNA (497 nucleotides) under uncultured bacterium. Its description in RNAcentral is "partial 16S ribosomal RNA". It matches the Rfam family "Bacterial small subunit ribosomal RNA", at positions 28 to 507 of the family's 1533-position model. The record is from RNAcentral.